This 267-nucleotide ribosomal RNA is filed under the name uncultured bacterium. RNAcentral's name for it is "partial 16S ribosomal RNA". It matches the Rfam family "Bacterial small subunit ribosomal RNA", at positions 87 to 353 of the family's 1533-position model. The record is from RNAcentral.
GAUGGCGACCGGCGCACGGGUGAGUAACACGUAUCCAACCUGCCGAUGACUCGGGGAUAGCCUUUCGAAAGAAAGAUUAAUACCCGAUGGCAUAGUUCUUCCGCAUGGUGGAACUAUUAAAGAAUUUCGGUCAUCGAUGGGGAUGCGUUCCAUUAGGUUGUUGGCGGGGUAACGGCCCACCAAGCCUUCGAUGGAUAGGGGUUUUGAGAGGAAGGUCCCCCACAUUGGAAUUGAGACACGGCCCAGACUCCUACGGGAGGCAGCAUG